UACGUAGGGGGCAAGCGUUGUCCGGAUUUACUGGGCGUAAAGAGCGUGUAGGCGGCCAAACAGGUCCGUUGUGAAAACUGGAGGCUUAACCUCCAGACGUCGACGGAAACCGUAUGGCUAGAGUCCGGAAGAGGAGAGUGGAAUUCCUGGUGUAGCGGUGAAAUGCGCAGAUAUCAGGAAGAACACCUAUGGCGAAGGCAGCUCUCUGGGACGGUACUAACGCUGAGACGCGAAAGCGUGGGGAGCGAACAGG
This 253-nucleotide ribosomal RNA is filed under the name uncultured bacterium. RNAcentral describes it as "partial 16S ribosomal RNA". It matches the Rfam family "Bacterial small subunit ribosomal RNA", at positions 524 to 776 of the family's 1533-position model. The record is from RNAcentral.